Molecule: long non-coding RNA, 1282 nt
Organism: Labrus bergylta (ballan wrasse)
Lineage: Eukaryota; Metazoa; Chordata; Actinopteri; Labriformes; Labridae
Source: RefSeq, a predicted model, not a curated record
GAACCCAAGUGUGGAAGCGAGUUGGAUGCAGCAGCGGAUACUGGGGCGGUCUCUCACACUCAGAUGCUUCCCUUAAUGGAGAACAACACAACAGUGUGACUACAGCGCCACCUGUUGAUGGUUGUUGGGGGAAGGAGGAGAGCGCCAGUGAAUGCUCAGGGAUCUUUUAUAGCACUUUGUUGGAUAUUUUUAGGCUAAUAAGAUGGGAGUAGGCUUCAAUCACUCAACCACCAUCUGCCAGCACAAUCUUGAUCAUUUUCAUCUUCAAAGUAUGGACAUGAUAAAGAAAAAGCAGCAGAUACAUUCAUCGUAAUGAGAUGCAUAAACAAAAAAGGAAGGAGGACUAUGGCCUCAUGUAGAAGCGUGGUGGAGCAAACAAAGAGCAGGCUCAUGACCCGUCCUCCUACGCUCUCCCUUUCUCGAAAAUGAUGGAGAACAAUCGCACUGGAUGGAGGCACAGCUUGAAGGAUUGCUACGACGAAACCAUCUCGAUCCCCUGUAAGGCAUCAUAAAGGACCCAGGAAGAGCAUCUGGCGCUUUGAGACGCCAAAAAAAACGAUCUCCCCGCUUCAACCUGCCACUCUUCCCCCCCAUCGACCAUAAUACGGUUUUCACGUUUCAUUCUCCCCCAACGCUACGACAGACUGCGCAAUCACAAAGACCCAAUUAGCCGAGAUGGGAUCACGAUUUCGCCAGAGGACCGAAGGGCCAAUCAUAUCGUGCGGCGCAUGGCGAGGGCCUAUAGGGCAUAAGCACAGGUGGGUGGGACAUGGCUGUUGGGCGGAGGAGACACGGUGACAUGGAUUGAGAACAGCCCCGUUGUUUCUGGUCAUUUGUGUCACAGAAGUUUUGAUUGAUGACCGUCGGGAUGUUUUUCCCACUCUCCCUUGAGAUUCCCACCACUCCAGAGGGGGUUUCCACAUCGGGCCCUCAGCUUCGAAGCUCCUCUUUAAGUUCUUCAAGCCCUUAGUCCUGUGACACACAAAAACUACUUUUUGGUCCAUUCAGGAUCCCAGAUGGCUGCUGCCCACACAUCUGUAUUGUAAAGCACCAAAUUUAGCUUGUUUCUAUUUUUGGCUGAACCUACACUCAAACAAAUAAAGUAUCUCCGAGAGUCUCAGUGAUGGAGAGAUUGAAAAGGACAUGAAGAAAUAAAGUAAAGAACAUGGGAAGUAGCCAAAUGUAAAUGCGUGCGUGUGUGUGAGAGUGUAAAGAGAAAAGCCCGAGGGACGGUAGGUGUGUGGGCGGCUGAGAGAGACGAACAAAAGAAGCAGAGAAGAGA